Molecule: ribosomal RNA, 450 nt
Filed under: uncultured bacterium
Lineage: Bacteria
Description: partial 16S ribosomal RNA
Rfam family: Bacterial small subunit ribosomal RNA
Source: RNAcentral
GUGGGGAAUUUUGGACAAUGGGCGAAAGCCUGAUCCAGCCAUGCCGCGUGCAGGAUGAAGGCCUUCGGGUUGUAAACUGCUUUUGUACGGAACGAAAAGACUCCUUCUAAGAAAGGGGGUCCAUGACGGUACCGUAAGAAUAAGCACCGGCUAACUACGUGCCAGCAGCCGCGGUCAUCCGUAGGGUGCAAGCGUUAAUCGGAAUUACUGGGCGCAAAGCGUGCGCAGGCGGUUAUAUAAGACAGAUGUGAAAUCCCCGGGCGCAACCUGGGAACUGACGUUGUGACUGUAUAGCUAGAGUACGGUAGAGGGGGAUGGAAUUCCGCGUGUAGCGGUGAAAUGCGUAGAUAUGCGGAGGAACACCGAUGGCGAAGGCAAUCCGCUGGACCUGUACUGACGCUCAUGCACGAAAGCGUGGGGAGCAAACAGGAUUAGAAUCCCGGGUAGUCC